UUCAUGAAGCUGGAAUUGCUAGUAAUCGCGGAUCAGCAUGCCGCGGUGAAUACGUUCCCGGGCCUUGUACACACCGCCCGUCACACCAUGAGAGUCGAUAACACCCGAAGCCUGUAGUCUAACAGCAAUGAGGACGCAGUCGAAGGUGGGAUUGAUAAUUAGGGUGAAGUCGUAACAAGGUACC
Molecule: ribosomal RNA, 184 nt
Filed under: uncultured bacterium
Lineage: Bacteria
Description: partial 16S ribosomal RNA
Rfam family: Bacterial small subunit ribosomal RNA
Source: RNAcentral